ACGAACGUUGGCGGCGUGCUUAAUACAUGCCAGUCAACUGAAGCAGUGGUAGCAAUAUCGCUGUGGAGGUGGCGCACGGGUGAGUAACACGUAGGUAAUCUGCCUUCAGGUCUGGCAUAACUCCGGGAAACCGGGGCUAAUAGCAGAUGAUGCAGCGGCUCGACAUCGAGACAGUUGUUAAAGCUAUGGCGCCUGAAGAUGAGCCUGCGUCUGAUUAGCUAGUUGGCGGGGUAACGGCCCACCAAGGCAACGAUCAGUAGCUGGUCUGAGAGGAUGAUCAGCCACACUGGAACUGAGACACGGACCAGACUCCUACGGGAGGCAGCAGUAAGGAAUAUUGCUCAAUGGGAGAAAUCCUGAAGCAGCAACGCCGCGUGAGGGACGAAGGGCUUUUGCUUGUAAACCUCUGUAGUGAGAGAAAAAAAUCCCAAUCUUUGGGACAUGAUGGUAUCUCAAAAGUAAGCCCCGGCUAACUACGUG
This 480-nucleotide ribosomal RNA is filed under the name uncultured bacterium. RNAcentral's name for it is "partial 16S ribosomal RNA". It matches the Rfam family "Bacterial small subunit ribosomal RNA", at positions 29 to 507 of the family's 1533-position model. The record is from RNAcentral.